Molecule: RNA transcript, 12670 nt
Organism: Salvelinus fontinalis (brook trout)
Lineage: Eukaryota; Metazoa; Chordata; Actinopteri; Salmoniformes; Salmonidae
Gene name: transcription initiation factor TFIID subunit 1-like
Exons: 3
Source: RefSeq, a predicted model, not a curated record
AGCAUCACACACAUCUCCCAGACUCUAACUCAUUGUGCUGUGUUCCCCUGCUCAACACAUCUGUGUGUGUCCCAACUGACUCUUGCUGCUAGAACCUGGAUCUCACGGCUAGAGUGCAAUGCAAAGCAACGGCCAUAAUGAAGGCUAGAGACCAUGUUGCGGAGCCUUCGGUGGGCAAGCGGUCAUUUGAUUGAUGAAGAGAUGGCCAGCAAUCUAAUACUGUUGUAGAGGAGUUCCUGCAAGAGGCAAAGGACAUGCAACGGAAAUCUUACCAAGAUGGCAAGUUGUAACAUUUGAAUAAUAUUUUUGUACGGCAUGUGUGGCAAAGCCUGAGAUUGUAUCAUUUUACUUGUCCUGUGUUGUUCCUGAUUAAUGUAUCUUUUGUGUAAUUUUUGUAUUUAGUUUAUUACAGCUCUUCAGGUACUACUCACUGUUGUCAGACGCUCAGCUGGAUGAGAGGAUCAAAGAGCUGAUUGGGCAGAAUGAAGAACUUGGUGCAGAGUCUGUGAGGGCACGCUUAAGAGGGUCAGACAGAGUAUGAUCCGUGUCAACUCCUAAGGAGCUGCAAGGAGAGCCAUGCAGCAGUGGCUACACCAGAGGCAGUACAGAGUUGCAGGCCCAAAUUCUUUGUGGCACAUCGAAGGGCAACCAUAAACUAAUCCGGAUAGUGCAUAUGCUUAGGCCUCCUGAACACUCCAUGUUUAUGCAAUCUUAACAUCGUUAAAAAAAACGAAUGAUUUAUCUGGUUCUAUGGUCAUGAAAGAAUUGUGGCCCUAUUCUUGGGUAUACAGUCCCUUCAGAAAAUAUUUACACCUCUUGACUUUUUCCACAUUUUGUUUUGGUACAACCUGAAUUUAAAAUUGAUUAAAUUGAGACUUUGCCACUGGUCAACACACAAUACCCUAUAAUGUCAAAGUGGAAUUAUGUUUUUUGAAUUUUUUACUAAUUCAUUUAAAAAUAAACAGCUGAAAUGUCUUGAGUCAAAAGAAAUUCAACCCUUUUGUUAUGGCAAGCCAAAAUACUAAGUUCAGGAGCACAAUUUUGGAAUGACUACCUCAUCUCAAGGCACUGUAACUGUAAUAAUGAUAUCGAUAAUAAAAACAGAAUGGCGUCACUAUAAGAGAAAAACACGUUUUUGUAAAACAAAUGUAUCUUGUUUUUUAGGUGGAGGAUUGUUAUCCAUGGUGCUGUGGAUGGUUACAGCAGACUUGUUGUGUUUCUGAAGGCCUCUGACAACAACAGGAAGCAGCCAUCACCAGCUACGGAGUACCAUCCCGGGUGAGAUGUGACCGGGGUGGUGAAGCGUAUCUGUGCCUUCGUGGAGCAGUUCAGGGGUGAUGACAGGAGCACUCACAACCAGAGGAUAGAGCGGCUGUGGGGGGACAUCUGGCAUGGAGUCUCCAACAUUUACCAUGACGUAUUCACCUUCUUGGAAACGGAGCAGAUCAUCGACAUCAACAAUGAGGUGCACCUCUGGGCACUGCACUUUGUAUCAGUUGAACCACCAUGGGCUGAGGACUGAACAAUGUCAGUCAGCUCUGCAAUUGUUCAUCUCAGGUUCCCCGACAACGCAGAGGGCCAAUCUGACAGCAGAAAGGGUUUUGUUCGCCCCAGCUUCAAGCACCAUCACCUCUCAAGCCACCACCUCAGCUCCUCCAACCAACAUCACCUCAGCUCCUCCAACCACCACCACCUCAGCUCCUCCAACCAACACCACCUCAGCUCCUCCAACCAACAUCACCUCAGCUCCUCCAACCAACAUCACCUCAGCUCCUCCAACCAACACCACCUCAGCUCCUCCAACAAACACCACCUCAGCUCCUCCAACCAACACCACCUCAGCUCCUCCAACCAACAUCACCUCAGCUCCUCCAACCACCACCACCUCAGCUCCUCCAACCAACACCACCUCAGCUCCUCCAACCAACAUCACCUCAGCUCCUCCAACCAACAUCACCUCAGCUCCUCCAACCAACACCACGUCAGCUCCUCCAACCAACAUCACCUCAGCUCCUCCAACCAACACCACCUCAGUUCCUCCAACCAACACCACCUCAGUUCCUCCAACCACCAACACCUCAGCUCCUCCAACCAACACCACCUCAGCUCCUCCAACCACCACCACCUCAACUUCUCCAACCACCACCACCUCAGCUUCUCCAACCAACACCACCUCAGCUCCUCCAACCAACACCACCUCAGUUCCUCCAACGACCACCUCCGCUCCUCCAACCACCACCACCUCAGUUCCUCCAACCAACUCCACCUCAGCUCCUCCAACCAACAUCACCUCAACUUCUCCAACCACCACCACCUCAGCUCCUCCAACCAACACCUCAGCUCCUCCAACCACCGCCACCUCAGCUCCUCCAACCACCACCACCUCAACUUCUCCAACCACCACCACCUCAGCUUCUCCAACCACCACCUCAGCUCCUCCAACAAACACCACCUCAGCUCCUCCAACCAACACCACCUCAGCUCCUCCAACCAACAUCACCUCAGCUCCUCCAACCACCACCACCUCAGCUCCUCCAACCAACACCACCUCAGCUCCUCCAACCAACAUCACCUCAGCUCCUCCAACCAACAUCACCUCAGCUCCUCCAACCAACACCACGUCAGCUCCUCCAACCAACAUCACCUCAGCUCCUCCAACCAACACCACCUCAGUUCCUCCAACCAACACCACCUCAGUUCCUCCAACCACCAACACCUCAGCUCCUCCAACCAACACCACCUCAGCUCCUCCAACCACCACCACCUCAACUUCUCCAACCACCACCACCUCAGCUUCUCCAACCAACACCACCUCAGCUCCUCCAACCAACACCACCUCAGUUCCUCCAACGACCACCUCCGCUCCUCCAACCACCACCACCUCAGUUCCUCCAACCAACUCCACCUCAGCUCCUCCAACCAACAUCACCUCAACUUCUCCAACCACCACCACCUCAGCUCCUCCAACCAACACCUCAGCUCCUCCAACCACCGCCACCUCAGCUCCAACCAACUCCACUUCAGAUUCUACAACCACCACCACCUCAACUUCUCCAACCAACACCACCUCAGUUCCUCCAACCACCACCACCUCAGCUCCUCCAACCACCACCACCUCCUUCUACAACCACCACCACCUCAACCUCUCCAACCACCACCACCACCACCUCAGCUUCAGCAACCAACAUCACCUCAGCUCCUCCAACCAACACCUCAGCUACUCCAACCACCGCCACCUCAGCUCCAACCAACUCCACCUCAGAUUCUACAACCACCACCACCUCAACUUCUCAAACCAACAUCACCUCAGCUCCUCCAACCAACACCACUUCAGCUCCUCCAACCACUGCCGCCGCAGCUCUUUGUUGGUCGGAAGGGGUGAUUGUGCCACAAAUCCAAUUCACCAUCAGCAACAUACAGAUGGAACUGUUGCGGACAACAAAUCCAUUGGAAGGCCCCAGAGGUAGCCUGGUAGUUGACAUUCUACACAGGGUUAUGGCAGUUAUAUCUUCAGCGCCACUCGUUCCUACUCCAACCUAACUUACUACACCCCUGAUACUCGACUAAUGGGACGAGGGAUUGGACGCUAUAUCUUCAGCACCACUCGUUCCUUUGAAUAAGUUCAUUUUUAUAAUACUGUUUGAAAUGUUAAGGACUCAUAUUUUUCAGUCCUUGAAUCAGUUCACCAAUAAUGACUCUCAGUGACACACACACACACACACACACACAAAUGCAUGCACGCGCACACACACACAUGCAUGCAUGUGCACAAACACAAGCACAAACAUACACACACACACACACACACACACACACACACACACACACACACACACACACACACACACACACACACACACACACACACACACACACACACACACACACACAAUGGAGGUGACCACUGGGGUCCAGUUAGCCCUGCCCUGGGUUGCUGCUGCCACCACAGGUAUUAUAUUACAGUUUUUUUCAAUUGUUUAAGCACAAUUUUGAUAACAGGGCCCGGUUUCUCAAAACACUACACACAAUUAGCACAACCCUACACCAAAGUAGCACAACACUUCAGAUCAUUUGCAAAAUGGAACACUUUUGUCAAAACUAUACACGACUUCAUAAAAAUAAUAUUUUGUUACCAUACGAAACACACACAUUUCAUAUGACUUCAAUCUUUUUGAACCAGUUACACACUGCUGUUGCUAAUCUAAAACACUUUUAGCAAGUCUAAUUGUCAGUGAUUAGAGUAGUGUAAAUGAAGUACACAGAGAAAGUGCAACUAUACAAACACUACACAAGACCAACGCUGCAGACUGAGGAAAAUAUCAUUUAUUUCUCUCCAUAUACCCAAAUCAGUCAACAUGUCAACAUGGAGAAUCACAACAAAACAUGUCCCAGUUUUCAUGCUACUACAGUAGUGUGCAUAACACUGUUAGCUCAGCAAACAGACAAACGUACAAUACUGUAUCCAGUACAGGUUACAAUUACAGUAAAUUACAACAACAACAAACAUCAAAAAUAAUCAGAAAAAAACUGACAAUAUUGUACAGAAAAUACUACAGUAAACAUACUAUACAUUAUCUCUUCGCCUAGCUGGAUCUGGCCAGAGAAUUUCAUCAACAUCACAAGCAAUAUCGUCAUUAGCAAGACAACGCGGGAAGAACCGUCUUGAAUGUCGAAUCCAUCCUUGCACAGCUGCGGCGUCGACUUGGUCACAGGCGUCCUCCAUGGCCUGAAUGAGGGGUACCUCAGCCUGGGGCUGGAGAUCGUAAACCUUCCACCGCCAUGCAGAGAAAAACUCUUCGAUAGGGUUUAGAAACGGAGAGUAUGGUGGAAGGUAUAGUACUGUCAACUGUGGAUGGUGUUGAAACCAGUUCUGGACCAAAGCAGAGCGGUGGAAUGACACAUUGUCCCAGAAGACCGUGUAUUGCAUCUGGUGCAUUUCAUUACCUACUGUGACGAUGUGGUGCAAUCGGUCCAAAAAUGCGAGAAUGUGAGGUGUGUUGUAAGGGCCCAUUUUGGCAUGACGGAGGACAACCCCAUGCUGUGAAAUGGCAGCGUAAAGGGUGAUGUUACCCCCACGUUGCCCUGGGACAUUGAUUAUAGCCCUGUGGCCAAUGAUAUUUCUGCCUCGCCUUCUUGCUUUUGUGAGGUUGAACCCUGCCUCAUCAGUAUACAGUAUAUUAAUUCAUGCAGGAUUUCCUCACCAUCCAUCUGCAAAACGCCCUGAAAUACAGUGAAAGACAAGAUUGUGUAGUUCAGGAUAGGUCUAGUAUACAGUCAAUGUAAAGAAGUCAUGUGUGCAGUAUGCAACAUCACAGUGCUAAAGUGAACAAUACAAACCUCCACAUACUCAUGCCGCAGCCGUUUGACCCUCUCUGAAUUCCGCUCAAAAGGCACUCGAUAAAGUUGUUUCAUUUGAACCUGAUGUCUUUUCAGGAUGCGUGCCAGUGUUGACUGAGAGACCUGAUGGACAUUAUUGAAAAUGGCAUGUUCACCGAUAAUGUUGGCUUGUAGUUCUCUGAGCCUGAUAGCAUUAUUGGCCAAAACCAUGUCUAUUAUCUCUCUCUCUUGUUCUUGCGUGAAUAUGGGCCCCCUUCCUCCUUGUCGUUCCCGACCCUCAAUCCUAUGUAGAGAAUAAUACAUGUAACUUACUGUACAAUGUCACAGGAAUUGGUAUCACAAGUGCUGAUAUGGUGCAUACAAUAAGCGGCUGAUUACUGUAACUGUAGACAGAUCUUAUUUUACCUGUUUUCCUGUCGAAAAGUGACAUUAUGACAGAUGCCACUGUAUAUCUGCUAAGAUUUGGCUGAACUCUCAGUCCAGCCUCCCUCAGCGUCAAUCCGUGGUUCACAACAUGGUCCACUAGUGUUGCACGAAUGUCAUUUGAUAAGUUUGGUCCUCUUCUUCUUUGUGCACAUUCUCCUCCUGCUUCAGGUCUUCCUCGACCUCUGACUCUGACUCGGCCUCUGCCUCGGCCUCUGCCUCUUCCUCUACCUCCUUCUCUGCGUACUCCUCCUCUCACCCUCACUCUUCUUCUGACUCCUUCCAUUUUGGUUGAAGGCAGGUGAACCUACCUCCUGCAUUUUUAUAGUGCUUAAACCUGAUUGGUGUGUCUACAAUUUAGCAUUCAUGUGUUUGUGCACCUGAUGGCUGUGUUUAACAGAUUGGCUCAUAGGUGUUGUAAUUUGACAGUCAGUGCUUUUGAAUUGCAAGGAAGUGACAUUAUGAUAUACUUCUGUGUCUGAUGUAUACAAGUGUGUUUAGUGUUUUGCAAAUCACUGUGUGUAAUGUUUUGCAAAUAGUGUGAAGCUGACAAUGUGCUUACAGUUGUGCAGAUCUAGCCUUGUGUUUUGCUCCUUGAGUGUAAGGUUUUGCUAAUUGUGGGAAAAGUUCAAUUGUAGUGUGUCAGCAAUCGUAAAAAAACUGUAAUUCAGGAGCUGUAAGGCUGUGUGUAAAGAAGCUUGAACCCACCGUGCCACAGCCACCAAGGUCAGACACACAUUUAACUACCAAGCCUUUAUAAAGGGAGUGCUUUUCCUGCUGCCUGUAUGUUUUCACAUCGUCACCAGGGCUCAAAAUAAAUCAAAAUUGUUGGUAGCACUGGUGCUCACUACUUUUAAAAAGUUAGGAGCACCACAUAACAUUUAGGAGCACCACAAAAUAAGAUUUUUAAAUUGAUUGAGAUACAGUCUUUAUUGGCCUAUAUAAAUUCUAGAUGUGCACUAGAAACAAAUAUGUAACCCUGCAUAGACAUUUGUUUACAGUUUUUUACAAUCACUUUGGCACUAAUUUCAGAAGCCUUGAUGUCAUUUUUCAAAACUCUAGACACAAAACUCACAACUGAUAAUGAAAAUGCAGAUUCUUCAAUUCUAAUACUUUUUCCAGUUGCUUGGAUACAAUACACAUAAAGCUAAGAUCAUUUGUUCAUUAAACUAAAAUCACCUGUUCAAAAUAACACAACUUAACAUUGGAAAGCCCCAGAGGUAUUACCAUUUCAAAUGGCAAUUCACACAUUACAUGUGAGAUGACUGUCUAUUCAUUUCAUUACAAUGAUCAAACUAUCAAUUGAUAGAACUGCUCAAAAUGAUAAGUAACUGUUGCAUUACUCUUAAUGCAUAGUUUUAUGGAAACUGACAAACAAUAUUCCAUGUUUAGAUCAUGAAAGGUUCAGGAUAAUGAGAUCCAUUGACACCAAUUAUACCGUGGAACAUGAACCAAUUGGACGACAUUAUCAUUCUUUAUCAGACACUUCUCUGGUCCCAUGUAUCACUUUUCCAGACCAUGUUUUCAGAUUUGACAUUACUGUACACUCACCGACCACUUUAUUAGGUACACCUAUCUAGUACUGGGUAGGACCCCCUUUUGCCUCCAGAACAGCCUGAAUUAUUCACAGUGUUGUACGUUAAUUAAGAGAUGCCCUUCUGCACAUCAUUUGUGUACUUUCUGUUAGCUUGAAUGAGCCUGGACAUUCUCCUCUGACCUCUCUCAUUAACAAGGUGUUUUUUCCCACAGAACUGCCGCUCACUGAAUGUGUUUUGUUUAUCGCACCAUUCUCUGUAAACUCUAGAGACUGUAGUUCAUAAAAAUCCCAGGAGGGCAGCUGUUUCUGAAAUGCUGGAAUCACCACAUGUGGCACCAACUGUCACGAUCGUCGGAAGCAUACUCGGACCAAAGCGCAGCGUGAUCUGGGUUCCACAUAUUUAUUCCAUGAAACGCACAAAAACAAUAAAGAAAAAACGACACGUGAAGCUAUGGAGUGCUCACAGGCAACUACACAUAAACAAGAUCCCACAAAAACCAGUGGGGAAAUGGCUGCCUAAAUAUUAUCCCCAAUCAGAGACAACACUAAACAGAUGCCUUUGAUUGGGAACCAUACCAGGCCAACAUGAAAAUAAAACAACCUAGAUUACCCACCAUAGUCACACCCUGACCUAACCAAAAAGGAGAAUAAAAAGGCUCUCUAUGGUCAGGGCGUGACACCAACAAUCAUAUCACGAUCAAAGUUGCUUAGAUUACGCAUCUUGCCUGUUCUAAUGUUUGGUCGAACAACAACUAAAGCUCUCUACUCUAUAUACUCUAUAUAUUAAGUUGCAGGCAGCCACAUUAUUUGCUGUUCGAAGGAGCAGGCUAUUUGCGUUUACACUCAGGUGUACCUAAUAAAGUGGCCAGUGGGUGUAUGUAUGCAGGCCCUUGUAAUUGCUUUUCCAACACUGACAACUCGUUCCUGAUGAUUGAUUUCACAUUGUGGUACGAGUAUAUAGUGAAAUGAGUGGUAUCCACCUACAACAACUUAGCGAUAACAUGGAGCCGGCAGGUGAUCCAGGUCACAAUAGAGGUCAAGCAGUGGGAGGAGGAAGACGAGGAAGACGUGGUGGUCAAAGGAGUGGCAGGGGACAAGCACCCCUUCGCAGAGGUGGUGGUCGGCCUCAUUUGAGAGGUGUGGGGGAUCAUGGUAGAGGACAAGGCCACGGUCCAAGACAGUGGCAGCAACAGCAAAGAGUGUCCAAUGAAAUCCGAGCAAUAGUUGUAAAUCAUGACAAUGACUGAGGCAGCUCCAAUGAGUCAGCCAAACCUCAGAAGAUCAACCCUGGCCUCAAUCAUCAGAACUUUCCACAAUGAGAACCGAACUGAGACUAAGCCAAAUAGGGGAGGCAGAGGCAAAAUUCUGAUUGACCAACGAGCCGGCUGUGGUCAAUUUGGUUCGGGCCAGAAAUUAUAUUCGCCUUACAGAAAUUUGGCAGCACAUCUUGGACAAUGACGACAUGUUCAACAAUGUGGAAGCCAUAAAUUUGCAGUCUAUUGCACGCAUGCUGAAAAGGCAACAGGUGUCUCUAAAACAGCUAUACCGUGUGCCUUUUGAAAGAAAUGCAGACAGAGUGAAGCAACUGAGGACUGAGUAUGUUCAGGUAUGUUCAGUUUCAAGAUGCCUGUUGUGAAAAAUUCCCCCAAAAUUCUAUCGUUGUAAUCAGUUAUUCUCUUUACAAAAUGUAUUUUUAGAGGGUGAUGGAGCCGGAUGCUGAUGAAAACCAUCACAAAUUCCUCUUUUUGGAUGAGGCAGGCUUCAACCUGGCCAAGACAAGGAGGAGAGGUCAGAAUUUCAUUGGCCAGCCGGCAACCAUCCAAGUACCUAGACAACGUGGGGCAAACAUCACCAUGUGUGCGGCUAUAUCGGAAGAUGAUGUGGUGGGAGCUCUCCUUGUAACCUUCCUUGAUGAGCUAAAUCAGGUCAUAGAGCUAAUGGCGUGACCUAUGUCAUUGUGUGGGACAAUGUCAGGUUCCACCAUGCUCAAAUGGUGCAAGCAUGGUUUCAGGCCCAUCCACAAUUUACCACCCUGUACUUACCCCCAAAAUCUCCUUUCCUUAACCCGAUUGAGGAAUUAUUUUCCAUAUGGAGGUGGAUGGUACAUGAUAGACGCCCUCACAAACAAGCCACCCUUCUCCAGGCCAUGGAUGACGCAUGCAAUGACAUCACGGCAGACCAGUGUCAGGCCUGGAUUCGGCAUGCCCAGAGAUUCUUCCCAAGAUGUUUGGCUAAUGAAAACAUCCAUUGUGAUGUGGAUGAGAACCUGUGGCCAAAUGCACAAGAUAGGGUUGAGGGAAAUAUAGAAGUACAGUAAUCAUUCCUUUGUUUUGCAUUUUACAGUAAGCCAGGUGAGGAACACUGCAGCUGACGUUUUACUGUAGUUUUUUACUUUUUUGUAGCUAAUAAUUUUUGCUUUGAUUCAAAGAAACCUAUGUUGGGAUUUUAUUGUAUUUCAUCAAUACAUUUCAGAUUGUUUUAACUGAUUCCACUGUGUCUGUAGAAAUCUCUCUACUAGUUAUUUUUUUACAUUUUAUUUUACAUUUUAUUUUAUUUCACCUUUAUCGUCUUAGUGAUCCCUUCACGCGCCAAUCCCGUUAGCGGGAUAGAUUUGAUAACAUCCAGUGAAAUUGCAGAGUGCCAAAUUCAAACUACAGAAAUAUCAAUAUUAAACAUUCACUAAAAUAUAAGUGUAAUACAUCAAAAUAAAGGUUAACGUCUUGUUAAUCCAGCCGCUGUGUCAGAUUUCAAAAAGGCUUUACGGCGAAAGCAGACGAUGCGAUAUUCUGAGGACAGCGCCCCACAUACAAACACAUGAAUAUAUAUAUUUCAACCAGGCAGUUGCAACACAAAAGUCAGAAAUAACGAUAUAAUAAAUGCCUUACCUUUGAAGAUCUUCUUUUUGCAAUCCCAAAUGUCGUUGGUCGUUUUGGUCGUUUUGUCCAAUAAAUUCCUUGUUUAUAUCUCCAAAAUGUUCAUUUAUUUGGCGUGUUUGAUUCAGAAAUACACUGGUUCCAACUCGCCCAACAUGACUACAAAGUAUCUAAUAAGUUACCUGUAAACUUGGUCCAAACAUUUCAAACAACGUUCCUAAUCCAACCUCAGGUAUCCUAAAAUGUAAAUAAUCGAUAAAAUUUAAGACGGGAUAAUCUGUUUCAAAUACCGAAGACGCUUUGCCUGUUUGAUGGUUCGUCGCAGGGCAUAGCAGGAUUUCUUAUAAACUUCCGUGUUAGAGUCCUGCACCUUGAAAGCGGCAGCUCUACCCUUUAGCUCAGUGCAAAUGUUGCCUGUAAUCCAUGGCUUCUGGUUGGGGUAUGUACGUACGGUCACUGUGUGGACAACGUUCUCGAUGCACUUAUUGAUAAAGCCAGUGACUGAUGUGCUGUACUCCUCAAUGCCAUCAGAAGAAUCCCGGAACAUGCUCCAGUCUGUGCUAGCAAAACAGUGCUGUAGUUUAGCAUCUGCUUCAUCUGACCACUUUUUUAUAGACCGAGUCACUGGUGCUUCCUGCUUUAAUCUUUGCUUGUAAACAGGAAUUAGGAGGAUAGAGUUGUGGUCGGAUUUAUCAAAUGGAGGGCGAGGGAGAGCUUUGUACACGUCUCUGUGUGUGGAGUACAGGUGAUCUAGAAUUUUUUUCCCUCUGGUUACACAUUUAACAUGUUGAUGGAAAUUUGGUAGAACUGAUUUAAGUUUCCCUGCAUUAAAGUGUCCGGCCACUAGGAGUGCAGCCUCUGGGUGAGGGGUUUCCUGUUUGCUUAUUUCCUUAUACAGCUGUCUGAGUGCGGUCUUAGUGCCAGCAUCUGUCUGUGGUGGUAAAUAAACAGCCAGGAAAAGUAUAGCUGAAAACUCUCUAGGCAAGUAGUGUGGCCUGCAAUUUAUCACAACAUACUCUACAGGCGAGCAAAAUCUAGAGACUUCCUUAGAUUUCGUGCACCAGCUGUUGUUUAAAAAUAUGCACAGACCCCCCCCCCUCGUCUUACCGAAGUGUACUGUUCUAUCUUGCCGGUGCAGUGUAUAUCCCGCUAGCCACGAUUCAGCCCUGAUAUCCAGAAGCUUUUUUUUGCCGUAAGAUACGGUUGCAGAAACAUUAAGUACAAAAUAAGUUACAAAUAACGUGAAAAAAAACACAUAAUAGCACAAUUGGUUGGGCGCCCGUAAAACUGCUGCCAUUUCUACCGGCGCUAAAUUUGACCAAUAGAAACUCUUGUUUGCAACCGUUGGACUAAUGAUUACACCCUAGAUCAGCUAGAUGCGAUCCAGAUUGAGCAAGGCGGUAUUGAAUGUGUCAAUGUCUGUCCCCUUGGUCACUCAAAUUUCUCUUCACCUGAGCACCAUCGUGAUGGUUAUAGGGAAAAUGUUCCUAUCAUGUAGUAGCCUAAACCAAUCGAUGUUACAUUGAGCUGGGUGAUUGGAAUAUGAAUGACAUUCAUCCAAUAUGCUGUAAUAGAAAUAAGGCCAUGCAAAAAAAACGAUUAUCCUCCCUCAUCUUAAACGGAACCGACCGCCACUGUGACUGACCAAGGGGAUGAAGGAAUGCAAGUAGUUUUAGAAUGGCCUACAACAUGGUUUAUGAAUGUAAAAUGUGGCCUGCCAAUGGAGAUGCAUCCAGCUGCAGCGCCAUUGCGCAAUAGAAGGAAGAAAAAACAUAGCGCAGGUAAUAUGGGCCACAACUUUUGAACAGUUUGAGCUAAAGACAAGCAGUAUUCUCUAUAGUAAUGAUGCAAGCACCAAGGUCACGAAUCUGCUGGCUUUUUUUCUAGGGCACUCGUAAACAGCAGUACAGUGAAGCCUAAUCAUUACAACAAUUAUUAUCUGGCAGAUUUUCUUCUAAGCACGCUGGUGCUCCCAAAUACAAAUUCCAAGCUGCACAGCAAAAUAUUUAGGAGCAUGUGCAACCAAAAUGUUCGCACCUUAGAGCCGUGAUCGUCACACAUCUGUUAAACUUAGCAUAGCCAUGAAAGGAGAACUUUACAUGUGUAUCAUAGUUUUAAAUAAUAUUUAUACUAAACAGAAAUUUAUAUUAGUAGUGCUUCCUCUAUGUUGAUAUACAAGAGUUUAUCAACACAGCAGAGAGAAUAGACAUUUGUGUCUGACGUGCUAGUCGUGUUCAAUGCAGAUCAUUUGCCACCAGUCCAGGAAUUUGGAGAGUGUAGUGGGGUAAUAUUUGAUAUAUAUGCAUAUUAUGUACACCUCACAUGCAACCGAUAAUAAGACUAGCUAUGCAAUUAGUCUAUUGAAAUGUUGGAUUCACAUACAAGGCAUAAAGCUUAAGUUACAAAGCAUUAACAAGCAUUACCAUGCAAAACUCUAGUCAUGAUCAGGGAGAGGGAGGGAGAGGGAGAGGGAGAGGGAGAGGGAGAGGGAGAGGGAGAG